Molecule: ribosomal RNA, 2866 nt
Filed under: Salmonella enterica subsp. enterica serovar Enteritidis
Lineage: Bacteria; Pseudomonadati; Pseudomonadota; Gammaproteobacteria; Enterobacterales; Enterobacteriaceae
Description: bacterial LSU rRNA
Rfam family: Bacterial large subunit ribosomal RNA
Source: RNAcentral
GGGUUGUGAGGUUAAGCGACUAAGCGUACACGGUGGAUGCCCUGGCAGUCAGAGGCGAUGAAGGGCGUGCUAAUCUGCGAUAAGCGCCGGUAAGGUGAUAUGAACCGUUAUAACCGGCGAUACCCGAAUGGGGAAACCCAGUGUGAUUCGUCACACUAUCAUUAACUGAAUCCAUAGGUUAAUGAGGCGAACCGGGGGAACUGAAACAUCUAAGUACCCCGAGGAAAAGAAAUCAACCGAGAUUCCCCCAGUAGCGGCGAGCGAACGGGGAGGAGCCCAGAGCCUGAAUCAGCAUGUGUGUUAGUGGAAGCGUCUGGAAAGGCGCGCGAUACAGGGUGACAGCCCCGUACACAAAAGCGCAUGUGCUGUGAGCUCGAUGAGUAGGGCGGGACACGUGGUAUCCUGUCUGAAUAUGGGGGGACCAUCCUCCAAGGCUAAAUACUCCUGACUGACCGAUAGUGAACCAGUACCGUGAGGGAAAGGCGAAAAGAACCCCGGCGAGGGGAGUGAAAAAGAACCUGAAACCGUGUACGUACAAGCAGUGGGAGCNNNNNNNNNNNNNNNNNNNNNNNNNNNNNNNNNNNNNNNNNNNNNNGGGCGUUAAGUUGCAGGGUAUAGACCCGAAACCCGGUGAUCUAGCCAUGGGCAGGUUGAAGGUUGGGUAACACUAACUGGAGGACCGAACCGACUAAUGUUGAAAAAUUAGCGGAUGACCUGUGGCUGGGGGUGAAAGGCCAAUCAAACCGGGAGAUAGCUGGUUCUCCCCGAAAGCUAUUUAGGUAGCGCCUCGUGAAUUCAUCUCCGGGGGUAGAGCACUGUUUCGGCUAGGGGGCCAUCCCGGCUUACCAACCCGAUGCAAACUGCGAAUACCGGAGAAUGUUAUCACGGGAGACACACGGCGGGUGCUAACGUCCGUCGUGAAGAGGGAAACAACCCAGACCGCCAGCUAAGGUCCCAAAGUCAUGGUUAAGUGGGAAACGAUGUGGGAAGGCCCAGACAGCCAGGAUGUUGGCUUAGAAGCAGCCAUCAUUUAAAGAAAGCGUAAUAGCUCACUGGUCGAGUCGGCCUGCGCGGAAGAUGUAACGGGGCUAAACCAUGCACCGAAGCUGCGGCAGCGACACUGUGUGUUGUUGGGUAGGGGAGCGUUCUGUAAGCCUGUGAAGGUGUGUCGUGAGGCAUGCUGGAGGUAUCAGAAGUGCGAAUGCUGACAUAAGUAACGAUAAAGCGGGUGAAAAGCCCGCUCGCCGGAAGACCAAGGGUUCCUGUCCAACGUUAAUCGGGGCAGGGUGAGUCGACCCCUAAGGCGAGGCCGAAAGGCGUAGUCGAUGGGAAACGGGUUAAUAUUCCCGUACUUGGUGUUACUGCGAAGGGGGGACGGAGAAGGCUAUGUUGGCCGGGCGACGGUUGUCCCGGUUUAAGCGUGUAGGUGUGUGUUCCAGGUAAAUCCGGUUCACUUUAACACUGAGGCGUGACGACGAGGCACUACGGUGCUGAAGCAACAAAUGCCCUGCUUCCAGGAAAAGCCUCUAAGCAUCAGGUAACAUCAAAUCGUACCCCAAACCGACACAGGUGGUCAGGUAGAGAAUACCAAGGCGCUUGAGAGAACUCGGGUGAAGGAACUAGGCAAAAUGGUGCCGUAACUUCGGGAGAAGGCACGCUGACACGUAGGUGAAGUGAUUUACUCAUGGAGCUGAAGUCAGUCGAAGAUACCAGCUGGCUGCAACUGUUUAUUAAAAACACAGCACUGUGCAAACACGAAAGUGGACGUAUACGGUGUGACGCCUGCCCGGUGCCGGAAGGUUAAUUGAUGGGGUCAGCGCAAGCGAAGCUCCUGAUCGAAGCCCCGGUAAACGGCGGCCGUAACUAUAACGGUCCUAAGGUAGCGAAAUUCCUUGUCGGGUAAGUUCCGACCUGCACGAAUGGCGUAAUGAUGGCCAGGCUGUCUCCACCCGAGACUCAGUGAAAUUGAACUCGCUGUGAAGAUGCAGUGUACCCGCGGCAAGACGGAAAGACCCCGUGAACCUUUACUAUAGCUUGACACUGAACAUUGAGCCUUGAUGUGUAGGAUAGGUGGGAGGCUUUGAAGUGUGGACGCCAGUCUGCAUGGAGCCGACCUUGAAAUACCACCCUUUAAUGUUUGAUGUUCUAACGUGGACCCGUUACCCGGGUUGCGGACAGUGUCUGGUGGGUAGUUUGACUGGGGCGGUCUCCUCCUAAAGAGUAACGGAGGAGCACGAAGGUUGGCUAAUCCUGGUCGGACAUCAGGAGGUUAGUGCAAUGGCAUAAGCCAGCUUGACUGCGAGCGUGACGGCGCGAGCAGGUGCGAAAGCAGGUCAUAGUGAUCCGGUGGUUCUGAAUGGAAGGGCCAUCGCUCAACGGAUAAAAGGUACUCCGGGGAUAACAGGCUGAUACCGCCCAAGAGUUCAUAUCGACGGCGGUGUUUGGCACCUCGAUGUCGGCUCAUCACAUCCUGGGGCUGAAGUAGGUCCCAAGGGUAUGGCUGUUCGCCAUUUAAAGUGGUACGCGAGCUGGGUUUAGAACGUCGUGAGACAGUUCGGUCCCUAUCUGCCGUGGGCGCUGGAGAACUGAGGGGGGCUGCUCCUAGUACGAGAGGACCGGAGUGGACGCAUCACUGGUGUUCGGGUUGUCAUGCCAAUGGCACUGCCCGGUAGCUAAAUGCGGAAGAGAUAAGUGCUGAAAGCAUCUAAGCACGAAACUUGCCCCGAGAUGAGUUCUCCCUGAGACUUAGAGUCUCCUGAAGGAACGUUGAAGACGACGACGUUGAUAGGCCGGGUGUGUAAGCGCAGCGAUGCGUUGAGCUAACCGGUACUAAUGAACCGUGAGGCUUAACCUUACAACGCCGAAG